Molecule: RNA transcript, 2625 nt
Organism: Pyrgilauda ruficollis (rufous-necked snowfinch)
Lineage: Eukaryota; Metazoa; Chordata; Aves; Passeriformes; Passeridae
Gene: COXFA4L3
Gene name: chromosome unknown C15orf48 homolog
Exons: 6
Source: RefSeq, a predicted model, not a curated record
CUGUCCCGCCCCCUCAGGGCGCGGGGCUCAAAGAGCGCGGGGCGGGCCCGGCCGGCACCUCCUGCCCCUGCCGGGGAGAGCCGAGAGCCCGAGCCGCUCCGCAGCCGCCAGCAUGAACAAGGGCAUCUUGCACACGCUUAAAACGAAGAGAGAACUCAUUCCCCUGGCCGGAAUAUUGUCCUUGGCAGCAGCUGGGGCGUUCUCUUUUUGUGUCUAUUCACUAUUCCGCAAAUCUGAUGUGAUCAUUCACAAGAUUGGCAGUUCAGAACCAUGGGAAACUAUUGAUCCUGCCAAGCCUCAGAAGCUGGUGACAAUCAGUCAGCAGUGGCGACCGAUAGAAGAGCUGGAAGAGGUCAAAAAGCUUACGAAGUGAGAAGUUUCUGUUGCCUAAAAAGGUACCCUAUGAAUCUAGUGGAAUCAUUUCUGCACAAACUUGACUACUGAAAUCAGUGUGCGGAAAUGCUUCUGCUACAUUUUUAGGGUCUCCCUACAUUUUUUUGGACUCUGGAUGAGGAGUUUCAUGUUGCUUUAGAAGCUGGCAUACAGCAUCCACAUAGUCCAAAAAUCUGACUCAAAAUAUUCAUUUUCAAUAAGCAUUUAAUGUAAAUUUUUGAGUAUUCAGAUGGUAAUUAUGGAUCAAAAAAGCCUUCAUAGUUUUUGUAGAAUUUCAGGAUUUGUUUCAAAAUACAUUAGUUUUGCCAUUUUACUCAUUUUUAAUAAAAUAAAUUCUAAGUUUAUACAUUUCAUGUAAAUUGCCCAAAAGCCUUUCUAAAUUGUAAUUCCUGGUCUCCUUCCUUUCUAUUCUGUAUUUCAAUGUUAUAUAGAGACCAAAGUCAUAGCCAGAGGAUGUCUUUGUAUGGCAGCAUAUGUGGUCAUACAGUACACUUGCAUUCCUUGUCUGUGUUAGAUGUGCGGACAGAUUAAGUCAAAACUAAUGUUGUGCUGCAAAUACUGAAACUUAUCCAUUGAGGAGUCCAAUAGGUUAUUUAAGGAUUUGUUUGAGACUGCAGAUUUAGAACCUCAAAACCUAAGAGUUAAGCAUGGCUAGAAAAGAAAUGAAAAUCAGGUAAUUUCUUUUGUAUUUAAAUAUUGUUCAUGAUUAAAUUUUUUGAUGGUACUAGAAUUAGAAAAUCUGCAUUAUCCAAAACUACACAGUGUUGAUUUCUUCUUUUUGUGCAAGGUUGUUCAAGUGCAAGCUGCAAUGUGCUGCGCAAUUAACAAUGUUUUUAAAGAUUUCUACGUGCUAUUAGGAAUAUGUCUCUUAUCAAAUAGAAACAAAGAGAUUAAAAUUAGGAAUGAUUCUAUGAAGAGACAGUUCUUCUUUAAGAUUCUGUGUGUUUGCUUAUGGGUUGGCCGGGAAAGAAUGUAAUGGGCACGUUCCCAGUAAAAUCAUGAGACAUGCAUCCAAUGGCAGAACGGUCCUUUUGUAGAUAUUUUCUGUAUGUGCCCUCUUCCAAGUUUCUCAAUCUAUUCCACAGUUCCUCUUAAAAUGGAUGGUAAGAACUCAUAAUCCUUUCUGUGAGAAAGAAACCAAAAGUGAAACAGCUGCUAAUUGAGAAAAGUCCCCUUAAAUGAGUAAUAGUCAAGUGCUUUAGGUUAUUCUACUGCAGCAAAGACAAACUUCAUUUAGAAAAGCUGUCUCCUGAAUUCCAAGGUAGCUUGGCUUCAGAAGCUGUUUUCUUCAGCUGAGGAAAAAAAAAUAAUCUAAAUGUUGCAUAAAUAUUUGUUUAUCUAGUAAGGAUGACUCAGCAGCAUUAAUGUUUUAGAGUGAGAGGAACUAGUAGUCUUCAGAAUAAGUCCUUAGCUUGCAUUUAAGGAAUGACAUUACAAGAAGAUUGAAUAGCAUAGAACCACAAAAAUACAGAGCUCUGAGGAAGUUUUAAGUAUUUUAAAACAGAAAAUCUUUAAAAAUAUUUCUCUGUAUUUCCAUAUUUCUACUGGACUGUAGCAAAAACAAAGUGCUGUGCCCUGAGUUGAUGCAUUAAUUGAGUUUGUUCUUCAGUAAGUCACUUUUUUGGCUGCAAAUACUAUGACCUAAAUAUCUGUCAACAUUGGGAAAAUCAGUCGGGAAGUGGCCGUGGCUCUCCUCGGCCCGCAGCUCUUCGUGAACGCUGGGAGCGGAGCGCCAUCGUCUGGAAUAGCCGGGAACGGCCUGGAAGGCAACCAGGUGAGGAGAGUCUUCGUCCAUACAGGACCUUUUCCCAGUAUCACAAUUCUGCUGAAGUCAACAAGAUUUUUUAAAUCCCGGGCACUGGCAAUAAUCUGUUGUGAACAACCACGGGCUGACAUGCACAGCUCCUGCACCAACAAUGUCACCAUGAAUUCAAUUCCCCAGCCUUCCUCUUCAAGAUGGAAUCAAGCAUUGAGAAUUUAACUCAAUCUGCUAAGUGGCAGUUCCACAGAAAUGGAGGGACUUGCCCUGCUCCCAGUGAAUGAAAUUCUGCCAUCAAACUUUUGGCCAAGUUUGUUUUUUUGGUUUUUUUCAUCUAUUCACUUGUGGCAAUACAACCUAUGCAGUGUAUCCCCAAUAGCCAGUGAAAGGACAUUGAGAGCCAGUUAAAGCAACUCUUAGGUUUGCUGCUACUUUCUUUCUAGCUACCUGUUCUUCUAGAAUUAGGUGCUCUU